RNAcentral lists this ribosomal RNA (504 nucleotides) under uncultured bacterium. RNAcentral describes it as "bacterial SSU rRNA". It matches the Rfam family "Bacterial small subunit ribosomal RNA", at positions 355 to 865 of the family's 1533-position model. The record is from RNAcentral.
UGGGGAAUCUUGCACAAUGGACGAAAGUCUGAUGCAGCAACGCUGCGUGGGGGAUGAAGCUUCUCGGAGUGUAAACCCCUUUCGACCCGGAAGAAUGCCCGCAAGGGUUUGACGGUACGGGUAUAAGAAGCCCCGGCUAACUACGUGCCAGCAGCCGCGGUAAUACGUAGGGGGCCAGCGUUGCUCGGAAUUACUGGGCGUAAAGGGUCUGUAGGCGGUGCGGCAAGUCGAUAGUGAAAUCCCUAGGCUUAACCUAGGGGCUGCUAGCGAAACUGCCGUGCUAGAGUGUGAGAGAGGCGAGUGGAAUUACGGGUGUAGCGGUGAAAUGCGUAGAUAUCCGUAGGAACAUCCGAGGCGAAAGCGGCUCGCUGGAUCACAACUGACGCUGAGAGACGAAAGCUAGGGGAGCAAACAGGAUUAGAUACCCUGGUAGUCCUAGCCCUAAACCAUCAGGACUUGGGGUUUGCCCUGUACGGGGCAAGUCCCGUAGCUAACGCGUUAAGU